UUUAAAUCAAUUAAAUCAACAAAAACUUAAUUAUUUUUAUGGAAAAAUCAACAUAAACUUUAUGAUUAAAAUGACUUCUUAAAAAUUCAUGAUUAAAUCAUCAUGAAUUUGAAAAUUCAGGAUUUUAAUGAUAUUUUUCUCCUUGUUUGCAUUAUAAUAUAAACUCAUAACGACAAUGAUUCGCUAAGUCCCUCAAGGCAAAGUCGUUUCAUGGUCUAUCUAACACCUAAAAACGCAUUGGCAAACAAUAGUGUGAAGUCCUUUCUCCUUGUCCUCUUCCCUUAUAUCCCCGCCGGAUUGAUGCUUCUUGUAACAUAAGCUUUGACAUUCUUGUAAUGUCCAUGUCCCUUUUUUGUUAUUAUAAUAAGUACCUUGACAAAGUUUGAAUGCUGCAGUCUCUGAUCCUCCUGUAAUAAAUACAUAAAAUUUUAGUAGUUGUGAUUUCAUUUUUAUUUUGUAUAUAGAACAUAAAAUUCAAAUAAACUCUUUUUCUUCGGGAGAAAUAUAACAGAAUUAUAAAUAUAUAUAACAAAAUUGAAAACAUUUUUCAGACCAUCAAAUUUAUGAAACAAAAAGAUAUAGGAAUUUUGAAACAUUUAUCUAAGCAAACCUAGCACAAGAAGGAUGA
Molecule: long non-coding RNA, 628 nt
Filed under: Capsella grandiflora
Lineage: Eukaryota; Viridiplantae; Streptophyta; Magnoliopsida; Brassicales; Brassicaceae
Description: long non-coding RNA (CGRA_LNC001359)
Source: RNAcentral